UACCCCCUAGUCUGGGACAACCGACUGAAAAGUCUGCUAAUACCGGAUAAGACCACGACCACUCCGGUGGUUGCGGUCAAAGAUGGCCUCUACAUGUAAGCUAUUGCUAGAGGAUGGGCCUACGCACCAUUAGCUUGUUGGUGGGGUAAUGGCCUACCAAGGCUCUGAUGGUUAGCUGGUCUGAGAGGAUGAUCAGCCACACUGGGACUGAGACACGGCCCAG
This 223-nucleotide ribosomal RNA is filed under the name uncultured bacterium. Its description in RNAcentral is "partial 16S ribosomal RNA". It matches the Rfam family "Bacterial small subunit ribosomal RNA", at positions 127 to 334 of the family's 1533-position model. The record is from RNAcentral.